GAGGGUAUAGCUCAGUGGUAGAGUGCAUGCUUAGCAUGUAGAAGGUCCUGGGUUCAAACCCCAGUGCUCCCU
Molecule: transfer RNA, 72 nt
Filed under: Camelus bactrianus (Bactrian camel)
Lineage: Eukaryota; Metazoa; Chordata; Mammalia; Artiodactyla; Camelidae
Also listed under: 2 other names
Rfam family: tRNA
About the family: Transfer RNA (tRNA) molecules are approximately 80 nucleotides in length. Their secondary structure includes four short double-helical elements and three loops (D, anti-codon, and T loops).
Source: Rfam by way of RNAcentral